Molecule: ribosomal RNA, 484 nt
Filed under: uncultured bacterium
Lineage: Bacteria
Description: partial 16S ribosomal RNA
Rfam family: Bacterial small subunit ribosomal RNA
Source: RNAcentral
GAUUAACGCUAGUGGCAGGCAUAAUACAUGCAAGUUGAACGGCAGCACAGGUAGCAAUACUGGGUGGCGAGUGGCGCACGGGUGCGUAACACGUAUGCAACCUACCCUAUACAGGCGAAUAACCUUUAGAAAUGAGGGCUAAUACGCCGUAGUAUUACAGAUGGGCAUCUAUUUGUAAUUAAAGAUUUAUCGGUAUAGGAUGGGCAUGCGUCCCAUUAGUUAGUUGGUAAGGUAACGGCUUACCAAGACGAUGAUGGGUAGGGGAUCUGAGAGGACUUACCCCCACACUGGUACUGAGACACGGACCAGACUCCUACGGGAGGCAGCAGUAAGGAAUAUUGAGCAAUGGCCGCGAGGCUGACCCAGCCAUGCCGCGUGCAGGAAGACGGCCUUAUGGGUUGUAAACUGCUUUUAUACGGGAAUAAUAGAGUGUACGCGUACAUUUAUGCAAGUAUCGUAUGAAUAAGCAUCGGCUAACUCCGUG